Molecule: ribosomal RNA, 652 nt
Filed under: Vibrio vulnificus
Lineage: Bacteria; Pseudomonadati; Pseudomonadota; Gammaproteobacteria; Vibrionales; Vibrionaceae
Description: bacterial SSU rRNA
Rfam family: Bacterial small subunit ribosomal RNA
Source: RNAcentral
GCAGCACAGAGAAACUUGUUUCUCGGGUGGCGAGCGGCGGACGGGUGAGUAAUGCCUGGGAAAUUGCCCUGAUGUGGGGGAUAACCAUUGGAAACGAUGGCUAAUACCGCAUGAUGCCUACGGGCCAAAGAGGGGGACCUUCGGGCCUCUCGCGUCAGGAUAUGCCCAGGUGGGAUUAGCUAGUUGGUGAGGUAAGGGCUCACCAAGGCGACGAUCCCUAGCUGGUCUGAGAGGAUGAUCAGCCACACUGGAACUGAGACACGGUCCAGACUCCUACGGGAGGCAGCAGUGGGGAAUAUUGCUCAAUGGGCGCAAGCCUGAUGCACCCAUGCCGCGUGUGUGAAGAAGGCCUUCGGGUUGUAAAGCACUUUCAAUAAGGAGGAAGGUGGUAGUGUUUAUAGCGCUAUCAUUUGACGUUACCUACACCCCAAGCACCGGCUAACUCCGUGCCAGCAACCGCGGUAAUACGGAAGGUGCGAGCGUUAAUCGGAAUUACUGGGCGUAAAGCGCAUGCAGGUGGAUUGUUAAGUCAUAUGCGAAAGCCCCGGGCUCAACCUGGGAAUUGCAUUUGAAACUGUCAAACUACGAUAAUGUAUAUGGGGCUACAAUUUCAUUGUAACGUUGAAAUGCAAGCCAUCAGAACGAAUAUAAU